ACGAACGCUGGCGGCGUGCCUAAUACAUACAAGUAGAACGCUGAAGGAGGAGCUUGCUUCUCUGGAUGAGUUGCGAACGGGUGAGUAACGCGUAGGUAACCUGCCUGGUAGCGGGGGAUAACUAUUGGAAACGAUAGCUAAUACCGCAUAACAGUAGAUAUCGCAUGAUAUCUACUUGAAAGGUGCAAUUGCAUCACUACCAGAUGGACCUGCGUUGUAUUAGCUAGUUGGUGAGGUAACGGCUCACCAAGGCGACGAUACAUAGCCGACCUGAGAGGGUGAUCGGCCACACUGGGACUGAGACACGGCCCAGACUCCUACGGGAGGCAGCAGUAGGGAAUCUUCGGCAAUGGACGGAAGUCUGACCGAGCAACGCCGCGUGAGUGAAGAAGGUUUUCGGAUCGUAAAGCUCUGUUGUAAGAGAAGAACGAGUGUGAGAGUGGAAAGUUCACACUGUGACGGUAUCUUACCAGAAAGGGACGGCUAACUACGUG
This 494-nucleotide ribosomal RNA is filed under the name uncultured bacterium. RNAcentral describes it as "partial 16S ribosomal RNA". It matches the Rfam family "Bacterial small subunit ribosomal RNA", at positions 29 to 507 of the family's 1533-position model. The record is from RNAcentral.